RNAcentral lists this long non-coding RNA (1804 nucleotides) under Mytilus galloprovincialis (Mediterranean mussel). Lineage: Eukaryota; Metazoa; Mollusca; Bivalvia; Mytilida; Mytilidae. The record is from RNAcentral.
CUCUCCUUAAGAUUUUCACAUAAGCUGUAAGUCUAACAUUUUUCACAGAAUUUAGAAGCCCCACAUAAACUAUAUUACUAACCUUGUAUUUUUACAUUACACAGAUAAAAUGCAACAUUAUUAUUUGUGAAGCAUUGAUAUAUAUGUGUACUCAGAAUCUUGUCUUUGUGAUCAAGUUUGGGGAACAGUUUCUGUCUUUCUUCUGAGUUUUCAGGAUAUAAGAAAAAAAUUAGUUAAAAGUGAUAUAGGGGGUAAAACUAAGGAAUUGAUUGACAAUAGACUCCAGUUGCAGGAUUUCUCACUGUGUUGAAGACACAUUGGUAGCCAUAGGCUGUUUUCUGUAUUUUGGUCGGAUUGUUGUCUCUUUGACAUAUUCCCUAUUUCAAUUAUUAAUUUUAUUUUGACUCCGAAGUUCACAUCUUUUCGAAAGGUUACUUACUCUGUUUAUGAACAUCCUGGUACUUGAGCAAGUAAGAGCAACGUAAAGAAGUAAAAUAAGCUUUUAAUCAGUUCAAUUAUUUCGGAAAAUAGACGUUUAAUUGUUUUUAUUCACGACAAAAUCAGCAAUAAACACCCCUCAAUCAACACAUCCCGCCUAUUUGCACCGAUCCUAUAUGUUCGAUUUCAGAGAAAUAACUCAUACAAUAACAAUUUCUGUCAUCUACCAUUUGUGAUUUUUCCUUUGUAAAUCAGUUACAAUUCCAAAUUUCAUUCAAUCUUUAAUUUUUCAUGAUAAAACAAGAAAGGCUAUAUUGGUUUAAUUGUCAUUUAAGGUCAAUUAGAUAAGGAAUCGUUAGAUAGGUUUGUCAACCAAGUAGGACGUAGGAUUGAUACUUUGAACAUUCAUAUUAUGUGAAAUGUUCUCUAUCUACAACGGUUGUCAACAUUUAAAAGCGAUAUGUUGCACUUUGAAUUUUUUGUAUAUUCAAACUUUUUGGUGACUAUUUUUUUGGCGAACACAAAUUUUAAAUUAAAUCAGAUAAUCCGAUGAUCAUUUUGUUUGGUUGUAUUUUCCCACAUAAAUUCAUAGGAAACUUUUGUAAAAGAUGACAGAAAAAUGACGGACGCUGAUAAAUGAUAAAAGUAAAAUCACAAAAAUACUGAACUCCGAGGAGAACUCAAAACGGAAAGUGAUAAAUCAAAUGGCAAAUUCAAAUGACAAAACACAUCAAAAGAAUGGAAAACAACUGUCAUAUUCUUGACUAAGUACAGCCAUUUUAAAAUGCAGAAAAUGGUUUUAUAGCGCUAAACCUCUCACUUGUACGACAGUUGCAUCAAAUUUAUAAAAAAAGAUUCAGAUCAGCUAAAUAAAACACCAAAGGAGUUGGUUCACUAACUCAUAAUUUUGGCCCUUAAAUUCGUAAACUUUCACUGAGAUGUUGUAGUGAAAACUUGAAUAAAACAUAGGUAAAAAUAUUCAAUUGUUUCAUAAUAAAAAACAUAUUUUCAUUAAUUACAUCAUGAAGACGUCAUAAUAAAGGGAAAUUCGCUAAAUCCUGAUUUUGCUGCAGAGUUCUGCCAUGACAGUUUUCUGAAAACAAACGACAGUGGUACCACCCUUCGCCCAUAUAUAUUUCUAUGGAAAUGAUCUAUUUAUACAAUUGUCUUUACUCUUCGAUAAAAAUUUCAAUGAGCGAUGGGGUGGCGCCACAUACUACAUCAUAAAAAAGUAAAAAAAUUGACAAGUUUCUAGAAAAAUGGACGAAAACUGAAUCUAUUGCUAUUUCAGGAGGAUCGAUUUAUAAAUAUUUAAAUGCAAAUUUCGUUUAAUACUCUUAAUUUCAUACAUUUAGCAAUGUAUACC